This 21-nucleotide non-coding RNA is filed under the name Caenorhabditis elegans. Lineage: Eukaryota; Metazoa; Nematoda; Chromadorea; Rhabditida; Rhabditidae. The record is from RNAcentral.
UCUUACAAGAUUAUGUAUGCA